AGAGAAGUUCUAUAUGUACUUGGAAGAAAGCAGGAAAACUGAACACUAGACUAUUUGUCAAAAAUACGAAUGUACAAUUUCUUCUGGCUGUCAUUUCUCUGUUACCCAUCCUCUCCAUGCCCAACCACACCAUAGCUAUUACUAGGCCAUUAUAAAUUCAUAAACUCAACAUAACACGGAUGCCCAGCUUUCCGGAACAUCAAGGGUGCAUGCAAAUCUGAAAAAUGGAAACAGCAAAUGGCUCAUCUCUCUCUGAAAGGGAAAAUUAAAUGCCAACAUUCUGACUGAUGAUGGUUUCCAUAGCGUUUUGGGUUUGUCGUUUUUGUUUUAAACUUAAGUUCCUUUUAAAACUUGCUAUCACUGACAAGCACAGAUUAGGUGGAAAUUUUUUUUUUUUUUUUUUUUUUUUUUGCUUUUAAACAAACUAAAGAUGGUAGAGAUUAAGCAACUGGCAGUUCUAGUUUAAAAAAAAAAAUUCAAGUUCCCUUUUCAAACAAAGACGUGCUUAUCUGCUUAGUAACUAUAGCGCUCAUCAAGGUAAUCACGCAUCAUUCAAAAUGAUCACAAACCCGUAUUUUUCCAUUGCCGCUCAUCUAGGGGUUUUUGUAUGAAAGAUGUACACCUCAACAAGGCUUGCAAUGUUCCAUGAAAGCAGCUCCUGGGUGGGUUUUUUUUCCUCCCCCUCACAAAAAUGGAUAAGGCAUUUUCCUAAGCUUUUGCCGAAGUGCACAAGCCCAAUUCAGGAGACUGUUUUGCUGUAGGUUUUCCUUGAAGUCUUCACUUCACAGCUCUUACAGUAUUAUUCUUGGAUGGAGAUAUAUAGCAUGCACCUAAUAAGACCAGAGCUAAGCACGAUUUAGUCAUAUUUUAAAUAUGAUAUUAAAUACACCUCCAGAUGGAGUCUUUGUAAAGAUUCUCAAUUCCCCAGGAGUUAAAGAAUAACAUUCUAGAGAUUCUGUAAAGUGGAAACAAGGAACUGAAUGGUAUUAACAAACAAACCAGAAAGACCAGGAUCACCAUGAUUUUACAAAGCGGUGUCCAUACCCUAUUUCUUCCCCAGCUUCAAACAGAACCAAAUUUCAGGGUAUGAAUUCACAGUCUUUGAAUAAAUCGGAGACUCUGGUACAUGUUAUAAAACUGCAUACUGUGCCAAAACCCACAGUGGGAAAAAAGAAGAAGAACCUGGACAUUUGAACUUACACCUUGGGAAUUUGCUAAAGAAAGGUUUUAAUAACACAUUUUGCAAACCAAGUACAAGCAAAGAUAAGUUUUCUAGAAUUUGAGCAAAGUCAUAUAUAGAGAAAACUAGGACAAGAUUUGGUGGGUGGGCAUUUUUUAAUAGUCCUCUGGUCCCAAUUCUUUUAAUUGGGAUGGUAGAGCUGCAGAAAGGGGCUGAAGUCCUUGCUCCGUGCUCUGUCACUAAAUAGCUACCUGAGCUUGGACGUGGGACUAACAUCUCUCUUGGUCUCAGCAGUCACAUGGGGAGAGAAGGAGCGCUCAUGAGAAAAAGACACUGGACUGAAAGAUGCUGAAGACCACGCUAACUCUAAUAAAGUUACUGUCCUGAGCUGUCUUACAAAUUUUUCUCCAGAACACCUGUUAGAUAAUUAGAUAAUCUUACAGACAUGCUCAUCACCUACUUGCAGAUAGAGCUGAACUUUCUGAAGGAAAAGUUUUAAAACUACAACCUAAUACCAUAGAUGCUUUGCCACAUCAUAGUCACUGGACAAAACGUCUGCUCACAAAUGAUGCAGCCACAUGGACAAACAGCACCUGCCAUCCCAUCUCUAAGGCUCUGGAAGGUUGUUUGCCGCGGGGCCAUGAUAAUCCUCUCCCUCCACGGAUGACCUUGAGAAACCUCCUCCUUCACUGACUGCGUUUAGCCCAAUGACCUGCUUUGACUAAAAGAAUGCAGCGGAAAUGACACGGCGAGACUUUCAAGCCUAAGCAGUAAAAAGUUUGCAGUUUCCGCUUAUUGUCUUCUUGGGACAUUGCUCCCAGGUGGACAAGUCUGAGGCCUUCCUCCUGGAGUCUGCGGACUCCCGCCAGCAUAAUGUCCAGCUCAUAGCCAGUGUCCAUGAAAUGGCACUUCUCCCAUAGAGGGACAUAGCUUGGACCAACUGGAAGAAGCAAGGAACAAAAAGAGAAUAAGAGAGGGCAUUCCCAUUGUGGCUCAACAGUAACGAACCCAACUAGUAUCCACAAGGACAAGGGUUCGAUCCCUGGCCUCACUCAGUGGUCAAGAAUCUGGCAUUGCCAUGAGCGGAGGUGGUCACAGAUGGCUCAAUUCCUGAGUUGCUAUAGCUGUGGUAUAAGCAGGGAACUGCAGCUCUGAUUCGAUCCCUAGCCUGGGAACUUCUAUAUGCCGCAGGUGUGGCCCUAAACAGACCAAAAAAAAAUUAAAAAGAGAACGAGAGAGGACACACCAGCAGGAUGGAAGGAAGCUCUAAGGUGUUCACUGGCUCUCCCCUGCCCACUGAUCUCUCCAGAGUAGACCCAACACAGCCCCAAGCCUCACUUGAAGCUGGACUGUACCCACUACAGCUGAGGAAAUUGUGCCGAGACAAAGGGGUUUCACCCCAGACCAAAGCAGCCAUCAGAUCAAUAGUAAUUGGAAAUUAUAGGCAUUAUCCUCUCCCAAUUACGAAAAUUGCAAAGCAGCUCUUUGGAGAUCUUAUCUCAGCAGGGAUAAGGCCAGUUAAAUGCUGGCUGGUUUUUAGAAAUUGCACAUUAAAUCAGAGACCUUAUCUUGACAUGGGCUACUCCAACUAAACUCCCUCUUAGCUGGCUAACAUUUGUGUUGAUCCAUGAUUCAUGAGCCCCAUGCUGUAAGCAUGGCAGGCCUGGAUCAACCGAGUGACAACUAUGAAAGGCAAGUAAAUCAUUUCUUUCCUCUGUGCGGAAGGUGAGCAUAAAUCACCAUCUACAAGAAGUAGCCACUGAGGCCUGUUUUCAGCGUUUUCCGUAACUAUAACAACUGCAAAUACCACUUUCUGAGACACUGUCUACCACUUUCUCAGACAGCUCCCUCUAUGUAUUCCCAUCUUUAGAAACACCCUCCUUUCAUCUUCAUAGAGACUUCCGUGGAGAUGGUAUUUCCAUUUGGUAGCUAAGCAAGUUGGUUCAGCAAGGUUGCAGGGGGCUGGACCCCAGGUCUGAAUGACUCCAAAGUCAAGAUCCUUUUUUUUUUUUUUUAAUGGCCACACCUGCAGCAUAUAAAAAUUCCCAGGCCAGGGAUAAAUCCAGAACUGCAGCUGCGGACCUACACCACCGCUUACAACAACAGCAGAUCCUUAACCCACUGUGCGAGGCCAGGGAUCAAACCCAAAUCCUCAGAGUCAGCAUUGGGUCCUUAAUCCACUGAGCCACGAUGGGAACUUCCCAAACUCAGGGUUCUUAAACAAUAUGGCCAGCCUCUUCUUGACAUCUUGAAAGAAAACUCAAAAGUGUAAAGACACUUCUGAAGUCCUACCUGUCCUGAAGGAAGAUCAUGUUGGUUUUUACUCACAUGUUAAAUAGUUUGGAUAAUGGCAUAAGGAUAAACAGAAACUAGAAUUGAUAAACUUGCAUAACACCUGUAUUUGAAAAUUAAAAAAAAAAAAGAAUCCCUUUUUAGGUGGCAGAAUGUGUUACAAAAACACAUUAUUCCAAGUAUACAUGCCUGAUAAACAACAGACACUGCUUUAAAAAAAUUUUUGAAAAAUAAUCUCUUUCUCUUUUUUGGGGGGGGUGGGGGGGGUGGGUGCAGGUACAGCAUAUGGAAGUUCCCAGGCUAGGGGUUGAAUGGGAGCUACAGCUGCUGGCCUACACCACAUCUCCCAGCAACGCUAGAUCCUUAACCCACUGAGUGAGGCCAGGGAUCGAACCCACAUCCUCAUGGAUAUUAGUAGGGCUCGUUACCACUGAGCCACGACAGGAACUCUGAAAAAUAAUCUCUAAUGGCAAAUAUUUUUGAUAUUCAACAGACAUGAGAUUUGUUUCCAAAUAUCCUAGAAACUGUUUGCAUUAUUACUAUUACCGUUAUUGUUUUGCUUUUGUUAUUUGUUCACUCGAAGCCUAAACUGCUGCCAUGUAAACAAGGCCAAGCCAGCCUGCUGGGAAGGACUUCCCCAUGGAUGCUCCCCACACACUGCAUCCCGCUCAUGCCAAGCAUCCACUAAAGGGCAGUUCUCACUUAGAGAACCAGGGCCUGGACAAGCUGGAAGAAGCAAACGGUGCGAUGUAAUAAGAGAGAAUGAGAAAGGACACGCUAGCAGGAUGGAAAUAAGCCACUUAUCGAGAUCUUCCCACUUACCCACGACUUGUCUCUGUCAGGAUUUUGUAGCUGGGGCACACUUCCCAGGAGUAGCACUUCACACAAAGCGAGGCAAC
This 4371-nucleotide long non-coding RNA is filed under the name Sus scrofa (pig). RNAcentral's name for it is "lncRNA (ENSSSCG00005018313.1)". Lineage: Eukaryota; Metazoa; Chordata; Mammalia; Artiodactyla; Suidae. The record is from RNAcentral.